UAGUAGAUUAAUUAUUUCAAUAAAACAAUAAAAUUUCUAUGAGAGGGUAAAUGGCAUAACAAUACACUCCUUCUCAAGUGCAGAACUUGAAAACACCAUUCCCAAGCAGAAUAUAAAUGCAUUUUUUGGUGUAUUAUUCUCUGAUAUUUCCUCUUUUGAAUAGCAGAGAAAGAAGUAUGUGUGUGGCACUGUGGUUAAAUAUGGAAUGCAGGCUCUAAAGGAUUCCUUUUCCUCUGAAAGUCUUAACAGGCGCCUCACCUUUCUCUGGUUUUCCUUCUAGUCUCAUGCAAAGACUAAACAACAACAAUCAACUCGAUAAAAUAGUGUCCAUAGGCCAGCUUAGGUUAGGCUGGUUGCAUGGAAAGAAUGUGACUGGGAAUUCAUAUCCUAGAGUCAAGCCAGAAACUUAAUGAUUAAACAAAUCACUUCCUUGAACGCAGUCUUUUUCCAAGGUUCUGUUAGCCAUACUCUCAGGAAGCUGUGAAGUAGGGAGAUCUACGUGGGGGUCUCUUUGUACUGAGACUCAUCAGCAUCUCGGAAAGCAGAAGGGCCUGAAUUAUUGCAGGCACAAGUGGGAGGCUGGGACAGCAUUUCUGACUUCCUGGGAGAAGAUGUCGAAGACACAGGAGAAGACAAGCCAGGGAGAGGGGCUUAGAGCAGAUUCUCCCUUGCAGCCUCAGAAGGAAUCAGUCCUGGUCACACCUUGAUCUCAGACUUCUGGCCUCCAGAAUGGUAGCAGCAGCAAAAAUGGCAAAAUGAGGACUUUUGAGAAUUCCUUUCUCUAUGGAAACAAAACCCUGGGGGAAAAUGGUCUGAAUCAACCUUUUCAGAACUCUGGAAAUUAGCCCGAGACUUGAAGCAAUUCAGGUUGCAUUUGUAUAAGAAAAGUGACAGAAUCUCAGUAAGAACAGCAAGCUUUGAAGGAUUUGAACUUGCCCAGUUGCCUUCCUUCUUUCUCCAUCUCUGCAGGGGACUUAAAACCAACAUCCCACACUCAUAAUGAAAACCUGGCAGGAGGCAGAACAGGAUUGGAGCUGCUUCAAAGCCUUAGGUCCAGAGAACUCAUCACCUAUGCAGAUCCUCAAUAAGACUCAAAGCUGAUUCCGCCUCAGAAACCAUGGAGACCCAAAGCCAAAUUCAAAGUGCUGAAAGUUAACUCAUCCAAUCAGUCAACUCUUGUACAGACCUCCUUUUUUUUUGUUCUUGGAGUUUGUUUUAUUCUAAUAAAGGUGUUUUAUAUUGUUGUUGUAUUAUUCUUAAAUACCAUAUUUUAGUUGCUAUUAUAAAUGGUACUUCUAUUGCCGUUUUGUCUAACAUUUUCUGGUGGUCAAAUUUCUAGCUAGUGUGGAAGAACACUGAUGGUUUUUACUUAUUGAUUUUCUCUCUGGCAAUCUCACUAAACCUUAUGAUAAGUAAUAAACCUUAUGAUAGUAGAAAAGGUUGAUAUGAUAUGAUAGUAGUAAUCCUCUGGAUUACCCAUCCCCUCUUGAUAAUCUCUGUUGAAAUAAUCACAUUAUGUGCAACUAAUGACAAUGUCACUGCUCUUAUAGUCUCUAUGUGCAUUUCUUUUUCUUGUCUUACUGCUUUGACUCAUUCAGUUGACUGCCAUUCACAGAACAGAUGUGGAACGGUUGUUUUCGUUAUCAUGUGCCUAAAAAGAAUGUGAUUAAAAUUUGCCAGUUCAAUAUAAUAUUGGAUGUAGGGUUUUAAUAAAUAACUUUCAACAAACUGCAAGAGUCAUCUUCCCUUUCUAGUAUUCUAAUGGCACUGGUUUUUUAAAAAUAAUAAAUUGGUAUUGAAGUUGUCUUAUGCUUUUUUCUGUAUCCAUUUCCAUUAAGAUAAUUAUUUGGAUUUUUUCUACUUUUCAUUAUAUGAUAUAUUGAAUAAUUAUAUUUUCUGAGGCUGAACUCUCCUUGAAUCUCUGUUACAAAUGCUGCUUGUCAUGAGAUACUAUUUUUCAUGCUGUCGUUAAAUUAGUAAAUUAAUUUUUAUUUAGGAUCUUAAAUCUACAUAUGUAAGUAAAACU
RNAcentral lists this long non-coding RNA (2026 nucleotides) under Homo sapiens (human). RNAcentral describes it as "HSALNT0026853". The record is from RNAcentral. Lineage: Eukaryota; Metazoa; Chordata; Mammalia; Primates; Hominidae.